Molecule: ribosomal RNA, 59 nt
Filed under: Lactarius subdulcis
Lineage: Eukaryota; Fungi; Basidiomycota; Agaricomycetes; Russulales; Russulaceae
Description: partial 28S ribosomal RNA
Source: RNAcentral
UUGACCUCAAAUCGGGUGAGACUACCCGCUGAACUUAAGCAUAUCAUAGCCCGGAGGAA